This 516-nucleotide long non-coding RNA is filed under the name Capra hircus (goat). Its description in RNAcentral is "lncRNA (ENSCHIG00000001121.1)". Lineage: Eukaryota; Metazoa; Chordata; Mammalia; Artiodactyla; Bovidae. The record is from RNAcentral.
GCAGAAUUUGAAUGACUCUUAAACAAAAUCAGGGACAAGACCGUUGUUAGUGAUCAUUACCCUCACUAUCUUAUUGAAUUUAGGAGCUAAACACACUUAAUCUCACUUUUCCCACCUCUUCAGCAAUUUUAGCAGAAUUUCACUAACUGCCUGUGUGCGUGCGCGCGCGCCAGCGCGUGCGCGGGUAGCUAACUGAAACAACAAAAAGAGAGAUCCUGGGUGAGAAGUCAGAUACAUAUGGGACAGGUCAGCUCCUAGAAGAUCCAUCAGUAGAUGCCAGGAGAAAAGAAGUGCAAGAGCCACCUCAAAGUUCUCUGAGUUCAGUGGGAGUGAAACGCAAACGAAGGAAAGCCAGCUCACACGGAAGCGUCCGCGCGAGGGCCACGCAAAGCAGCACGGGACGGAAGCGGGCAUCUCUGAGGACGCGGCGUCUCAAGGUUCCCACUGUCAAGACGGUCCGGGAGGAAAUGGCCUCGCUAGCCGCACUCCCAAAGUUGGCCCUAGAGAGACCCUCAC